UACAGAUUCUGCAUGAGGUUGGUGGAGGAACAAUGUAUAUCUUACAUUGCCUCUCUGCCUUCCGAAUCCUGCAGAGAACUUCCAUGUACCAGAGAUUAAGAAUAUGUGCCAUGGAGCAGGGCUGACCCCUUACUUUUGCACAGGAACAGAGAGAUCUUGUGCACAGAAAAGACCUUCCAUAUGGCAAUUUGUGGGGGACGGAGAAGAAUAGCAACAAUCUGGCUCUAGAAUUUUAAGACAAAGCUGUUCUUAAUUAUCAUUGUAACCAUUAUGAUUUAUCUGCAUUUGCAAAGCAUCACACAUCAUAAAAGGAGCUGGGUACAAUUUUUUAAAACAGUAGCACACUGCCAGAAAAUGACAAAAAAAAGGACAAUCUUCAUAUAUCCUGGACCACCACCAUAAUUUAAAGGAACUCAGAAACGCUAUUUCCCCAUGAAUACAUCCUUGGUCCUAAUGAUAUUUCUGUAAACGUUUUAAGUAAAACAUGUUUUCCAUUCCAAAUGUGUUCUGUAAUUUGAUGCCUUCAAAGAAAGGAUGUAUGAGUCAUCUUAAUGAAACAUGCAAUUGAGGCGAGUCACUGUGUAGCCAACUAAAAUAUCUAAGUAAUAUUAACAGUGUUAUGUUACUUAUGUAGUUGCCCAAGGUUUUAAGAACCAAAUCUGUUCUUUUUACUACAGUAAGAAUUACUGUUGUGUUUUUUUUAUGUGGAAAGUGAGGCUAACAUAACUACAGAAUUAAGAUCAAAAUUUAGUUUGAAAGACAAGUUACUGCAGAGGUAUUCUCAUUAGAAAACCAGUGAGACAUUAGGCAUUGACCUGUGACCCACCAUAUCCAAUAUUAUUUUUGUUUCUUGUUCAGUACUUGAUGCUUUAAUAUCUGUUUCCUGGCUUAAUUCGAGCAUGGGCUGUCAGAUUGGAUGGAGAAUUCAGUGUGUUUUUGGGUGGUUAGGAUUAGUAAAAUUUCAGAUUUUGCCUGGAAUGCUCCAUUAUUUCUAACUAUUCCCCUUUUUCUGUUAUGAGAGUGAAAUUUACUUCUUCCUGUACCAGACAGAAUAAAUGGGGUGAUGUGCUGAAGGUUGGAGAGGAUGAAAUUCACACUUCAAAACCUAUGGGCAAGCUGAAUCUCAUGCUGCAUCUAUGACUGCCAAGCACUGGACACCAUUGUGAGGCACUGGACUAGCGGCUGACUGCUUCCUGACUAAGUGUAAUAAGUACUCAAGAAUGACCUGCAGCAACAACUGCUUGGGCGAGACUCCACAUUGGGAAGCCCAGAUGGAGCACCGCUUCCAUUCUGAGAGAUCUACCUGGGGAGCCCUCCACUGCUGGAAAACGACCCUAAUGAUGUCCGGACGAAGGGACCACUCAUGGUGACUGCAGAAAGACCUAAUGAGGAGAUCUGCCAGUUCGUUCUGUGCUCCAUGCAGGUGGAAAGCCUCGAGGUCUUGACAGGCCAGUGGGGUGGAGUGCCCGGAGGACUGCUGAGAUCUGUAGUGCUUCCUUAAAGUCACUGAAGUAUACAGUCCCAGGGACUUAAAGGUCGCCCAGGAGUCCUUCAGUCCACGAAGUUUCAUGUCAGUCUGCUCCAAAAAGAGCAAAGUUCCCUCACACAGGGAAGAUCCUGGAGAGUUUGCUGGACCUCCUGCAGGAGGCCAGAGGACUGUAGCCAUGAACUCCUACACGUGGCUGCUGCGGAAGCCAUGGACCUCGCUGCCGAAUCCGCUGCAUUCAGGGCAGCUUGCAAAGAAAGCUCUGGCUAUGGAUUUCCCCUCAUCCACCAGCAAGAAAAACUCCAGCCUGGCUUCUUGAGGCAGCAAGUUUUUGAACUUCAACAUGGAGUCCCAUAUGUUGAAGUCAUAUUUGCUCAGCAACACCCGCUGGUUAGCGAUCCUGAGCUGCAAACCCCUGGUAGAGUAGACCUUUCUACCAAAUAAAUCCAAGUUUUUGAUUCCUUUGCUUUUGGUGUUGCACCUUGCAGACCCUUCCUUUCCCCUUUGUUGGCAACGGAGAACACCAGGGAUCCUGGGGGGGAAGGGGAGAGAGGGAGAGAAGAAGGGGUGAGUGUUCCUGCCUAGGGUUAUGAGUUCUCGUACAAAGUAUUUCCUCUUAGCUCUCUUUGAUGUGAGGGGAAGGGAAGUGGCAGGGUUGCCACAAGGCUUUCACAGGGUCCGUGAUUGCCACAUUGAGAGGCAGGCUACUUUUGAUGGGACUGCCGUGGCCACAAUGUCAGCCAGACUAUGGGAGGACUCUUUUACUACCUCCACCUGUAUGUCCAAAUUUUGGGCCACCCUCUUUAGCAAUUCCUGAUGGGCCUUAUAGUCAUCUAGGGGAGGCAACACGCCUGCUCCUGAUACAGCAUCAUCAGGAGAGGAGGAGGCCAGCACCAGCUGAGGGUGGUACUCUUCUUUCUGUGCCAGCUGGGUCCUGCAGAGCCAGUUCCUGGAACUCGGCUCAGGGCAUGGCACCAUGGUCCGGAGCAGGUGAUACCCAAUGGGGCAGCAGGGCCCUUCUCUCAGAGGCCACCAAAUAGGAGCACCUCGAAUGGGCCCCGGGAUUGAGGAGAAAAGGGCCAUUGCACUGGCAUAGGCCCCCAGUGACCACUAAGCCAACGCUUGAGGGCACUCCUGUUCCCAGAUGCAGGUUAGGGAUGACUGGAGAAAUGGUGGGGUCGACUCCUUGAACAAGACCCAACCCAGAGGCAGUUAUGGUUUUGUGGGGCCUUAGACCAGAGCAAGGGGGACCCCUCCCCCCCAUAUGCUUGCAUUCCCCCCAUCUCCUCCCCCAAGUCACAUAUGUUUCCUGCUGGGGAAAUGGAGUUGGGGUGCAAAGGCUUGCCCUGCUCCACCCGCGCACCUGGUGCUCCUGCAGGGGAGCGGGGUCAAGGUGCGGGGGUUUGGCCCACUCUCCCACUCAGCGCUCCUGCCGGAGAGCGGGGUUGGGGCGUGGGGGUUUGCCCCCCUGUUCACAAGGAGCCCUGAGCACACCCUACCCCAUCAACCAGAGGAGCACGGGCCAAACUGCCAUGGGCCCCUGGCUGGCACCAGGGCGCUGGCCAGCCUCAAUGCCAGAAGUGACCAGUAGUUAUUGCAUAUUGGGUCAUAAUAAUUUUCUGUAUGACUGUAUUGAUCUAACUUAUACUGGGGGCUGUGAGAAGAACAAACCAGGAAACAAUUCAAUAGCUUCCCAGCUACUGCUCCAGCGCAUAGUAGAAAUACAAUGGGUAAAGCUAUCAGCUUCAAGGACCUUACUCCUGCCUCCAAGGAAGACGCAGGCUUGAUUUGCCUGGCUGGCAACUUGGAGAGGUAAAGGAUAUUAAACAGUUAAAAACCCUCUGAAAAAAGGAGAGGGGUUGCUAUUUGUCAGAAGCUGUCUAGGAAGACAGGCUGACAGAGAGAGAGAGAGACUCUGCAGAGGACAUCUAAAGACGUUGGGUCUUUCCAGAUGCAGGGAAUGCUAAGCCUUAGAGAAAAGUGAGAUAUGUAUACUGUUUUAUUGUUUUUAAGAUGUGCUUUCUCUGAAAUGCUUUUGUUCUAAAUAAAUAAUGCUUGUUUUAAGGAAGCCGUCUGGUCACUAUUACCACAGCCAUUGCUCCUGGAGGGAACAGAACUGCAGGGUCUGAGCCUAA
Long non-coding RNA from Malaclemys terrapin pileata, 3621 nucleotides. RefSeq lists it as uncharacterized. The transcript is spliced from 5 exons. NCBI's taxonomy places the organism in Eukaryota, Metazoa, Chordata, Testudines, Emydidae. The record is from RefSeq and is a predicted model, not a curated record.